AAGACCUUACGCCUUUGGAGCGGCCGAUGUCUGAUUAGCUUGUUGGUGAGGUAAAGGCUUACCAAGGCUUCGAUCAGUAGCUGGUCUGAGAGGACGACCAGCCACACUGGGACUGAGACACGGCCCAGACUCCUACGGGAGGCAGCAGUGGGGAAUUUUGGACAAUGGGGGAAACCCUGAUCCAGCCAUGCCGCGUGAGUGAAGAAGGCCUUCGGGUUGUAAAGCUCUUUCAGCCGGAACGAAACGGUUACGAUUAAUACCUGUAACUACUGACGGUACCGGAAGAAGAAGCACCGGCUAACUACGUGCCAGCAGCCGCGGUAAUACGUAGGGUGCGAGCGUUAAUCGGAAUUACUGGGCGUAAAGCGUGCGCAGGUGGUUUUGUAAGUCAGAUGUGAAAUCCCCGGGCUUAACCUGGGAACU
Molecule: ribosomal RNA, 423 nt
Filed under: uncultured bacterium
Lineage: Bacteria
Description: bacterial SSU rRNA
Rfam family: Bacterial small subunit ribosomal RNA
Source: RNAcentral